AAACAUUUAAGUUCAGCAUACUGGUAUUACACCAAUGACUAAUACUAUCGAAAUCUUCUUGAGGCAGUGCGACAUCUAUAAGAAUAUCAUAAUCAAUAAAAGCAGGUAAGUAGCUCAGAAUAUAAAAUGUAAAAUUCUAAGUCAAUCGUUUUUUAACGUUAUUUUUAAAGCUCAUAACACUCAUGAAAGAGAAUUAGUGACAAUCAAUCUUUACGUUUAAUAUUAAAUGUUAUGAUUGUAAUAUUUCCCCGAACAAAAAAUCAAAAAAAAGGAAAAUAUCGAUUUUAUUGAAUGCUGUCUUAUCGUCAAGUUUUUACA
Molecule: non-coding RNA, 318 nt
Organism: Cinara cedri
Lineage: Eukaryota; Metazoa; Arthropoda; Insecta; Hemiptera; Aphididae
Source: the annotation of a GenBank genome assembly